AGCCCCUGUCUUUAGUUUCUUCAGUGAAUUCUGGCGGCAAUAUCGCACAGUCGCCAGCGAUCAUGUCAGGUCUUAUGAUCCAUAAAAAUGGGUGACCGCUUUUUGCAAGUCCCGUUCCAAAUUCAAUGAGCUGCUGCUUUGUAGCGACCGCUACGCUGCCAAAAUUAACAUAAACGACAGAGUUGGGUUUCUGGGAAUCCAGCCAUUGGAGACACUCAACUUCUUCUUUCCAUAGAUUACAUCCAAUAGAAUUCAGAUCAUCUUCUUGAAUUUUAUUGAGAAGCAACUGAAGUGGACCCAUCGCAUAGACACGAGGAAACAUGGAGUAAAGGGCAUUCAGAACCUCUUGCUCCAAAGCAUCAAAAGUAUGGAAAAUAACGGCAGAACCUUCAGAAGCCCUCUCAGCACAUUCCACGCCGAAGUUAAACAUAUAAUCAUCAGGAUCUGUUGUUCGAACAAAACUGGGAAGGUCCCUUAACUUUAUAUCUCUCAUUCCUGGGAUCCAAUCUACCACUUUGUCCAAGUAGCCAUUUGUUAGAAAGCUCUCAUCUGCAAACAAAAAUUGAACGUACAUAUAGCUUUCAGUAUUGGAGCUAUUUUUUUUUUCUUAUAAACGUUAUGCUAGCAAGUGAAUAAAAAUGACUGAAGAAACAGAGAAAAAUAAAAUAAAUAUAAAGAAGGUUCCCUAGCUUGUGUCCUAGUGAAAAGCAUGAAUAAUUAAGGGAAAUAGUAUACUUGUAGGAGAAAAUAUUCACGAGUACAACUCACCUGAAGUCCACUCAAAUAAUUAAUUAUGAGGGAAUAACUAUAAACAAAGUGAUUAUUGUAGAAAUCCUCUCUUUGUGAGUGUGGAUUAUUGAGCCUGACUGGUGCAAUAAUUUAUUUAUUUGGAGACAUUUCAAGCAACUACAAAUCUUAAUGAAACUAUAGUUUUUUUUUUCUUUGUCCAUACCUUUUAGUGGCGUAAGGCCUUUUUCUUUGAGUGCUUGAAAUUGUUCAAUCCCCAUGAAGCUGCAAGCAGAGAUAGUAAAGAACAACGCAAUAGGAAUUUCGUGCAUCGCAGCAGCAUCGAUAGCGACUGGCAUGAAACCAUCAGAGACGAUGCAAGUCACUGGGGGGGCAUCUGAAGAAGCUGUGUCAUUCAACUUGUCAAGCAGGUCAUUAAAUGGACCCAGUAAGUUCUUCCUGGAAGCCUCGCAAAUUGCAUACGUAUUCUGGGUGGCAUUCUCAUCCGAAGGAGGGAGGCCAUCCGGAAUGGAUUCAAACCGAAAAUCGGGCAAACCAUUCAUGGAAUCAGGACCUCUAGAUUUAAGUAAACGUCUGUGAUUGAACUCUGUAUUGACAAAGGUAAUGUGAAAGCCUUUGUAAUGUAAUAGUUUUGCUAGUUUAAGCACUGAUUUUAUGUGGCUCUGAGCUGGGGUGGGAAUGCAGACAACAUGAGGCUUAUGAUCAGCUGAAAUAUUACAAGCCAUCUCUUUAAAUCCCCCCCCCCCCCUUUUUUCUUGUUUUUUCUUGUUUUUUUUUUUUGCCCUUUCUCUCUCUGUUUGCUCCUUUGCAUGCUCAGAAGAAGUUCUGGUAUUUGUAUAAAGCAAUGCUAAAAUUUCUGCUGCAAUUGUUUU
Long non-coding RNA from Populus trichocarpa (black cottonwood), 1619 nucleotides. RefSeq lists it as uncharacterized. The record is from RefSeq and is a predicted model, not a curated record. The transcript has 2 exons. NCBI's taxonomy places the organism in Eukaryota, Viridiplantae, Streptophyta, Magnoliopsida, Malpighiales, Salicaceae.